GCAGCUCUGAUUACCUCAGACUCACUGAAAAUGUCAGAAACUGUUCAGCCUUUUCUGUUCAAUCUAAAGGUGGACAAUGAUGGAGGACUCAAGAAGAAGAGACAACAUGUCGAAUGCAACAGGACGCUUCUGACCGGUUAGUUGAUGAUGUAGCUGAUGUGGAGCAAAGAAAUUAUACCGACAAGUGAAAGCCAAUAGGUAAUAAGUGUAAUGGUUGGAUAUAAACAUAACAUAUAUAACAUAACAUAAAACACUGAUUUUCUAAAAAUGCUCACUUCAAAUGUUGUUUCAACAAAAUGUAUUUAACAGAUAAUAUAUUUAAUACAUUUAUUUCCAACAUGUACAAUAUUUAAAAUAUUAGUAACCGUGCACAGUUCAGUUGUUCAUCUUUUUUAAGUUAUUGCACAGUCAUUAGAUUCAGAUGUAAUUCUAUUAUCUUACACAUUGCUCUGAUGUUGUUUUUCAAAUUAAAUUCCUGCUAGACGGUGUCUAUUAUCCACGAUGUCGUCACAGUGAGUUUAGAAUGUCGCGCGGGUAAAAGCAGACACUCUUCACACUUUACUCACUCACUCGGUUUGUAGCUGCUCUAGUCUGAUUGAUUGAUACCAUUAGUGGUUCAUCAUGGGACAGAGAAGUUCACGAGUACGAUCUUUUUUGGAUAGCGAGCAGGUUCACGACCCAAACCCCAGCAGCAGCAGCAGCAGCACGGCGGAGGAACAACAUCCUCAUUGGCCUGUUGAUGUUGCUGAGGGAGAGGGAGCCGUGAUUCCCAACUCGCGUCCGAAAAAGAAGAAAAAGAAAGGGGGCAACUUCUUUAAGUGGCUCUCUUUCAGUGGGAAGAAAAAAUCCACCGAAAACAAGAGCUCAGAUCAGGGCGAAAUGAAGGACCAAGAUAUUGAGACGGAAACACCCAGGACAAGUACCGACGAUCAAAAGUCUCUACAGUCCAUCUCCAGAUCUGUAGAGGUCACUGAUCUCGAGGAACCUCCUGUCGGUGUUAUCCGAGUCCUUCCCGCUGCUGAGCCUCUGGAGUUUCAAGAGCUCCAAACUCAAGUUCACGACGCUCCAGCAGGUGAAACGUCUCCUCUGACGAAACCGCUGGACAGUAAUGAAGUGAACAUGAGACCUGAGGACAACAUCUGCUGCCGAUAUGCAAUUGGCCGUAAGCUGGGGCAAGGUGGAUUUGGUGCUGUCUAUGAAGGCACUCGUUUGGCAGAUGGCCAUCAGGUGGCAGUGAAAUUUGUCAAAAAGACAAAACACACGGAAUGUAUCAGUAUUCCUGAUCAUCCCGAGCCCCUUCCCAAAGAAGUCGCUCUGACAAUCCUGGCCAAUAAAGGUCCAGUGAAGGACAUCAUCGAGCUGCUGGACUGGCAGGACCAGCAGGACUUCUACGUCAUGGUCCUCGAGCGUCUCUCGCACAGCAUGGAUGUGUCUCGCUUAGUGCAAGGCAACGGCGGCAGCAUCGACGAGAACUUUGCUCGGCUCAUCAUUUGGGGGGCAACACUAGCCGCUGAGGCGUGCUGUCGCCGCGGGGUUUACCAUGGGGACAUCAAAUUAGAGAACCUCCUGAUAGACUUGAAGAACCUCGAAGUCAAACUCAUUGACUUUGGAUGCGGCGAUCUCCUGACAGAAUCUGCCUACACGAGAUUCUGUGGCACAAUCAUGUACUGCCCUCCCGAGUACAGGAUGAAGGGCGAGUUUCAUGGAAAGCCGGCGACGGUCUGGACUCUGGGGAUCCUCUUGUUCAGAAUGCUGUGCGGAUACUUUCCAGAUACUUUUGACCUGUACAGGAUCAAUAUGAACACCUGGUACAAACCGGGCUUGACAGAAGGUUGCUGCCAUUUGAUCUGCUCUCUUCUGCAGCAGAAGCCUGAGUGUCGGCCUGAUCUGGAAAGGAUUGUUAACCAUGAAUGGUUUUCGGUGUAAGUCCGGUCACAGCCACUCCAGAAGUGUCAUCGGUUCAGAAAAUCUCUUUCUGUUUGAUGAAAAAAUCCACCAAAAACAAGAACUCAGGAUGAGAUGAAGGACCAAAGUACUGAGAUGGAAACAUCCAGAAGUACCGACAGUAAAUGACAAACAUUUUAUGAGAAUAUUGAACUCUAUGUGUAAGAGCGGUCACUCCAGAAGUGUCAUCUGUUCAUCUGUGUGUCUGAAUCCAGUGGCGUCUCCAUCCAUCCGCUUUAGCCUCUUCCAUCUUGGCUUGAAGUAGCAACAUUAGCAUCUGGCAAUAUUGCUUUCCG
Megalobrama amblycephala (Wuchang bream) is the source of this 2240-nucleotide RNA transcript. It is a transcript of the gene named serine/threonine-protein kinase pim-1-like, with no coding region annotated. NCBI's taxonomy places the organism in Eukaryota, Metazoa, Chordata, Actinopteri, Cypriniformes, Xenocyprididae. The record is from RefSeq and is a predicted model, not a curated record. The transcript has 9 exons.